CCUACGGGAGGCAGCAGUGAGGAAUAUUGGUCAAUGGGCGGGAGCCUGAACCAGCCAAGCCGCGUGAGGGAAGAAGGUACAGCGUAUCGUAAACCUCUUUUGUCAGGGAACAAAGGCGGGGACUAGUCCCCGGAUGAGUGUACCUGAAGAAAAAGCAUCGGCUAACUCCGUGCCAGCAGCCGCGGUAAUACGGAGGAUGCGAGCGUUAUCCGGAUUUAUUGGGUUUAAAGGGUGCGCAGGCGGCCUGUUAAGUCAGCGGGAAAAGCCCGGGGCUCAACCCCGGCGAGCCGUUGAAACUGGCGGGCUGGAGUUGGAGAGAAGUACGCGGAAUGCGCGGUGUAGCGGGGAAAUGCUUAGAUAUCACGAAGAACUCCGAUUGCGAAGGCAGCUUACUAAACUGCCACUGACAUGGAUGCUCGAAAGUGUGGGUAUCAAACAGGAUUAGAUACCCCGGUAGUC
This 459-nucleotide ribosomal RNA is filed under the name uncultured bacterium. RNAcentral describes it as "partial 16S ribosomal RNA". It matches the Rfam family "Bacterial small subunit ribosomal RNA", at positions 338 to 795 of the family's 1533-position model. The record is from RNAcentral.